Molecule: long non-coding RNA, 1039 nt
Filed under: Homo sapiens (human)
Lineage: Eukaryota; Metazoa; Chordata; Mammalia; Primates; Hominidae
Description: non-protein coding SAP30L-AS1:6
Source: RNAcentral
AAAGUGGAAGAGGAAAGAGUUACCCCAGCGAGAACCGGGAACCGGGCUGCAGACUCUCCGGCCCGGGGGAGGGAUGAGUUUCACUCUGGUUGCCCAGGCUGGAGUGCAAUGGCGCGAUCUCGGCUCACCGCAACCUCUGCCUCCCGGAUUCAAGCGAUUCUCCUGCUUCAGCCUCCCGAGUAGCUGGGAUUACAGAUAUGCUCUAACUUAUUUAUCCCCAAAGGACGUGCAUUUGGGUCAUUUUCAAUCUUCUGCUAUGGUAAGUAACACUUCAGCAAAUAAAUCUUUGCUCAUCACUGUCUCUCUUAUAUAAACUCCUGGGCAUGGAAUUUCAGGUCAAAGAAUGUGCUUGCUCUGAAAUGUAAUGGAUUUUGCCAAAUUGCUAUUCACAGAAGAUAUACCCACUUACACUGCCCCAAAGCCUACAUUUUUCUCACUUUAGUUUGGUCACAUUGUCCUGGUUGGAUACUUUCUGUCUCCCGUAUCUCAUAGUUGGAGAUAUCCUAACCAUGGCCUCCUGGGGACACUGUGCAGUUUCCUUUCUGCUCAUCCUGCUGCCUCCCCCCCUAAUCCAAACAACCCCUCAUAUCUGUGUAUGUCAGAGGGCUGUCCACACAGCAUCUCAUUUGAUCCUAUCUUGUGGGGUAGGAAGGAAAACCGUAUCAGCACAGUCUGGGGUAUGAGGACCAGAGGUGAAACAACUGGCCCAGGGUCCUAGGAUGGAAGGAGAGCCUCCUUGCUGAGCACUUUCCCACCAUACACCAUUGUCCAAAGAUGGCCUCCUAAGUCUGGGAAGGGUAGUACCAAGGAGGUAUAUCAGUUGGAAGUGAUGCCACUAACACACUAACACUUACUGAAAACACUGAUGUGGGCCAGAGACUGGGGAUAUAGAGGUGGACAAAACCUCCUCCCUGCCUCCAGGGAGCAUGCAGAGAUGGGAGUGCAAUGUGGGGUAGUUCCUAGGCAGCAUGGGGAGCCAUCUAUAUAAGCUGAGAUUGGAAGGGUGAAUGAGGGUUGGCCAGACUAAGGAAUGGCAUUU